CGGGGGAGGCCGGAUCCUGGGCUGUGUCCCGGCGCCCUGUGCUCCGGGGCCUGCGCUGUUGGAUUCACGCUCCCGGGCCGCGCAACCCCCU
Molecule: non-coding RNA, 91 nt
Organism: Canis lupus familiaris (dog)
Lineage: Eukaryota; Metazoa; Chordata; Mammalia; Carnivora; Canidae
Source: Rfam